CUACGGGUUGCUGCAGGCGCGAAAACUCUACAAUGCACGAAAGUGUGAUAGGGUAACCCCCUGUGCUAACUUUGUUAGCUUUUGUCAAGAAUAAUGCUCUUGACGAAUAAGUGGUGGGCAAGACCGGUGCCAGCAGCCGCGGUAACACCGGCGCCACAAGUGGAGUUCGCUAUUAUUGGGUCUAAAGCGUCCGUAGCAGGUUUAAUAAGUCUCUUGUUAAAUUUCUAGGCUUAACCUAGAAACUGCGAGAGAAACUAUUAGACUUGGGACCGGGAGAGGUCAGAGGUAUUUUAGGGGUAGCGGUUAAAUGUUAUAAUCCUUAAAGGACCAACUAAUGCGAAGGCAUCUGACUAGAACGGAUCCGACUGUGAGGGACGAAAGCUGGGGGAGCGAACCGGAUUAGAUACCCCCGUAGUC
This 417-nucleotide ribosomal RNA is filed under the name uncultured archaeon. RNAcentral describes it as "partial 16S ribosomal RNA". It matches the Rfam family "Archaeal small subunit ribosomal RNA", at positions 323 to 746 of the family's 1478-position model. The record is from RNAcentral.